Molecule: long non-coding RNA, 1091 nt
Organism: Lemur catta (Ring-tailed lemur)
Lineage: Eukaryota; Metazoa; Chordata; Mammalia; Primates; Lemuridae
Exons: 3
Source: RefSeq, a predicted model, not a curated record
CUUCCGGAUCCUAGAGAGCGUUUAUUCCGUGACCAGGGGAAACGGUAGCCAUGGCAACUCGUUCUUCACCCUCUCCCAUUUACGGAUGGGAUCACGUUGGGAGUGAAUCCAGCACGACUUUCGCAGUCAGCUUUCUGUUUGACAGUGCUUCUCGGGAAGGAGAAACGCCUGAGAGGUUGAAAAUCCUCCGGAGCAGUUUCGGAUAGGGGUGGUGAGAAACUACAGUUCCCGGCAUGCAACGUGCUAGGAGGAACCACUGUAUUGAAUGCUGGGGAUCGUAGUCUUUGGCCUCCGGACCAGCUGCGCAGUUUGGCCCUUUCUUUUACAUUCUCGCAGCGUGUUUUAGAGGGAACUGUGUUCUGCGUGUGUUCGAAUUCACAUUGUGUUCUGAUUGCAGUAGAGAUCUGUGCCUAUUCCAGGACUCGCCAGUGUACAUAGCUUUUGGAAGCGGCCUAGAAAACCUCCAUGCCUUGGGCAAGGCCGCCCUGUGUUCUGGGAUCGGCCUGAGUCUGGGCUCCGCCUCCGGCUCGGGAACACGAAUCUGGCUUCACCAGCAAGCACCAUGAAGCUGCUGAGCUUGGCUUAGCUUACCAACUUUGUGCCUUCUAAGAACAUUGGUUCUGUGGGGCAUAAGAACCAGCAAAUACUUAAAGGGGAAAAGCAACAGAGAAGACUACAAGCACCGCUUUGAACGUUUCUAUCAUGAAGAGCUUACUGAGAAAGUGCAAGCAAGUGUUUGUUGUUUCCAAGGAGUCAAACAGGAACUUCGAAAUCUUGGAAAGAUUUGCCUUAAAGGAUGUGGAACUUGAUUUUAACAAUGCAGCGGCAGGUUCCAGUUUAGAUUCUGUUCUCAGGUAAGAAGUCAAGAAAUUCCAAGCCUUUUCAUGGGGCUCAACGCAAAAUAGCCUGACUUUGGUAAAUGUGAUCCCCUAAAUUUGGGAUGUCUUUCCUCACUUCCCCUGUUCUCUGCCCAUCCCUUCCUGUAAGAGAGACCCCCUAAAAGCCACCCCUGUGUUAGAAUUUCCUUAUCAUAUAUCACUGUCCACUUGCAAAGCUCUUCUGGUAUUUCACAUACUUUCUUCCAGUUUCCU